GACGAACGCUGGCGGCGUGCUUAACACAUGCAAGUCGAACGGUAAGGCCCUUCGGGGUACACGAGUGGCGAACGGGUGAGUAACACGUGGGUGAUCUGCCCUGCACUUCGGGAUAAGCCUGGGAAACUGGGUCUAAUACCGGAUAGGACCCUGGGAUGCAUGUCCUGGGGUGGAAAGCUUUUGCGGUGUGGGAUGGGCCCGCGGCCUAUCAGCUUGUUGGUGGGGUGAUGGCCUACCAAGGCGACGACGGGUAGCCGGCCUGAGCGGGUGACCGGCCAAACUGGGACUGAGAUACGGCCCAGACUCCUACGGGAGGCAGCAGUGGGGAAUAUUGCACAAUGGGGGCAAGCCUGAUGCAGCGACGCCGCGUGAGGGAUGACGGCCUUCGGGUUGUAAACCUCUUUCAGCACCGACGAAGCGCAAGUGACGGUAGGUGCAGAAGAAGGACCGGCCAACUACGUGCCAGCCGCCGCCGUAA
This 478-nucleotide ribosomal RNA is filed under the name uncultured bacterium. RNAcentral's name for it is "partial 16S ribosomal RNA". It matches the Rfam family "Bacterial small subunit ribosomal RNA", at positions 28 to 523 of the family's 1533-position model. The record is from RNAcentral.